GAAAUGCGAUAAGUAGUGUGAAUUGCAGAAUACAGUGAAUCAUCGAAUCUUUGAACGCACAUUGCGCCCCUUGGUAUUCCAUGGGGCAUGCCUGUUCGAGCGUCAUUUGUACCCUCAAGCUCUGCUUGGUGUUGGGUGUUUGUCCCCGUCUCCGCGCGUGGACUCGCCCCAAAGUGAUUGGCAGCCGGCGUACUGGUCCCGGAGCGCAGCACAUGUCGCGCAAACGAGUGCCUUGGUACGGCGGCGUCCAUAAGCCCCUCUCUCACGCUCUUGACCUCGGAUCAGGUAGGGAUACCCGCUGAACUUAAGC
RNAcentral lists this unclassified non-coding RNA (310 nucleotides) under plant metagenome. RNAcentral's name for it is "partial contains 5.8S ribosomal RNA, internal transcribed spacer 2, and large subunit ribosomal RNA". The stretch from base 1 to 105 matches the Rfam family "5.8S ribosomal RNA", at positions 50 to 154 of the family's 154-position model. The record is from RNAcentral.